This 74-nucleotide transfer RNA is filed under the name Candidatus Omnitrophota bacterium. RNAcentral describes it as "tRNA-Arg". It matches the Rfam family "tRNA". From Rfam's summary of the family: Transfer RNA (tRNA) molecules are approximately 80 nucleotides in length. Their secondary structure includes four short double-helical elements and three loops (D, anti-codon, and T loops). The record is from RNAcentral. Lineage: Bacteria; Pseudomonadati; Candidatus Omnitrophota.
GCGCCCGUAGCUCAAUCGGAUAGAGCAACUGCCUUCUAAGCAGUAGGUUGCGUGUUCGAUUCACGCCGGGCGCG